This is a long non-coding RNA of Setaria italica (foxtail millet), 1049 nucleotides long. RefSeq lists it as uncharacterized. NCBI's taxonomy places the organism in Eukaryota, Viridiplantae, Streptophyta, Magnoliopsida, Poales, Poaceae. The transcript is spliced from 3 exons. The record is from RefSeq and is a predicted model, not a curated record.
AAAGAAAUGAGGCCUCUUCAUUACCAGAACAAAGCAUCCUCAUGAUAUGGGUGUUUCUAAUGGGAGGAUUAGGAAACCUCAAGGACCUGCCAUUGAUGAUGUCAAAGUAACAUAAAUAUGACCAUACAUCAAAGGUUGCUAUGGCAAAACGGCUCUUUUCUUUCAAUAUGACAUCAUGGUUGUUGGUACUGGAUAUGUAUCGUUUCAUGCCCUGUCAAUCUAGAUACCUUUACCUUGUUGAUGCCGUGUCGAAUCUCCAUUGCUGUUGGAUAUUUGAUUUUGUUAUGCCCAUCUGUUCCUGAUAGGAAUGUCUCGGUGAUAGGAGAAAGAGUGAGAAAAGAAGUCACUGCUUUCUUUUAGAACAGGAAAAAGGCCCAACAUUUUCCUAGAAGAUCCUGUGGUUCUGGACAUCCCAAGUUCCUCACAUUCUCUUGUUUCUCUGGCUUUUGAAGGCCUGGUCAAUCAUUCCACUAUGGAUGAUGAGACGAGAUGUGGAUAUAUGAUGCAUGUGUAGGGCUUGAGCAGGCAAAUGGCCUUGAGUGAUCUCCCUCUUGGCCUUAUCACAAACCAUCUUUUGUUUGCAGCCUUAAGUCUUUCUUAAGACAUGUGGAGCCCCUAGUGGACUACAAAUCCAAAGCCAGCUGCUCAACAGAAUAAGUAGUUGAGGGAACAAUGCAGCACUGCUCCAUGGUGACGGUAUGCUGUGUGCGACCCUGAGUUUGGUCAUAUCAUCAAAGUAGCGCCAAAGAAACAGGAUUAUGUGUACCAAGCUUUUGCGGAUCACAGGUGGUCACAUCAUGCAAACUUGCAAAGCAUUGAGCUUGACACAAUCUUCUCCCUGUAUGGAGAGACAAUGAAAAAUUAGAGAUAACAAUUGCUCCGAUAUAGGUGCAUUUGGCAAGGAUCUGGUUUAUCAUUCUUUCCGUUUAAAUUCUGUUUCCCCCCAUGGAAUUCAAUCUUCUGUUAAUCAGAAUCACUUUGUGUAAAUUGGCUAAUUUGUUGGGACAGUUAAUGCAUUUUUUUAAUCAAAUAUGAGAUCUUUCAUGCUA